AAGAGAAACGAGACAGGCAGCUCAAUCAAUGAGCAAUGCAAGUCCUGCACAUACGCGCGCGACGGCGCGGCAAGUCUGGUACGCAGCGCAGCUGCAGGCCAACCAUCAGCGCACGUUGCCCCUUUUCCUUUAUGUUUCCUCUUUCUUUCUUUCUUUCCCUGACGUGGGGCCCCGCAGCUAUCUUCAACCUCAAGCCAAAAGUUCAUCCCACCUACGCGUAUGAACCAGAACCGAAAAUCUCCCUUUUUCUUCGCCGAUUCCGUUCGAUUCGUGCUCCUCUGCCACGAAAACCCUCCUAUAAAUACCUCAUAAUCUUCUCUGUAUUUUGCCCCUAAAAACCCUAAUUUUGGUGCCGCCAAGCUGCCAAAAUUUCUCACCGGAGUUCGCGCCGCCGCCACCGUCGCUGAGCUUCGAAGAGCACAACUCCAGUAAAACGUCGCCGGAGUUCAUCACCACACGAGCUGCUCCAUCCGCACGCAUCAGCCGCUCGGGGAGCAGAAAGAGGACGUGAAGACCGCUGCUGUGACCGCCGUCUCCUACCGCACCUCGUCGCCCCAAGCCCUUCAUUGUUCGUCUGAUCUUUUCCCCUGAAUCACCUCGUUGUUCUGAUUGUUCACCAUCUCGCGCAGAGCACCGUUGACGCGAGCCGUAUCCAUCGCCGAAGUUCUGCCGCAGCAAAGCUCGGUCAGCUAACUGCCAUCCUCGAUCGAGGAAGGAGGAGACGCUGAAUAUCCAGUCUUCGAGACCCCCGUGAAGCCCCGCAGCCCCGUCGACCACUACCCCAAGCCGGAGGAGCAUCUAGCCGACGUAAACGACUCUAACCCGCCAGGCCGGCACCGUCACGUCAACCAUGCCGAUAGUUCCAUCGUGCUGUGCUUAUAGAUAUUCCGAUGAACGAGUGAGGUUCGAUGGUUAGGGUUACGAGUCUAUACUCGACAUGCUCGCCUGUGGCACAUGAAGACGAAGGACUCCAUGCUGAUAUGUUUCGUUGUAAACUCUGAUAUAAUGCUAGCUUCGGGCUAUGCAAUUUGUAAUGUUUACUUUGUAAUUACUGGAUCAUGCGAUGUAAUAAAGACCUUUGUUUCUUGGUAUUA
Non-coding RNA from Lolium perenne, 1094 nucleotides. The record is from RefSeq and is a predicted model, not a curated record. Lineage: Eukaryota; Viridiplantae; Streptophyta; Magnoliopsida; Poales; Poaceae.